CCUGGAUCAACAGAUGGCGUUUCCAGCGCAAAAAAUGUCAGGUCCCAAAGAAACCUUGGACAAGUCUCACCCAGUACUCACCCACACUUCUCACCCCGCUCCCCACCCUAAACCUCUCCUCUCCAGGGGCUGGACUUCCCUUCCCCCAGCUUCUGAUUCUUGUAUAACUCAGCCAUUUUGGCCGCCCACUCUCUUGGGCCUCUCCUGGCUUCGUCAUCUGCUCCUCCCUUGGUCCACGUGCGCCCUCUCUAUUCUCUCUCCUCUCGUGGCCUGGCUCAUUCUGAAUUUCCAGAUACCUCUUGUCUGUGCUCUCUCCCUCAUACCUAUAAUAAAACCGCUCUCCCCAGCCAUACCUAGAAGCAGUGAUGUUCUCAUUUUCAUUCAGAAGGCAUGAGCAUAACGCAAAGGGAAAAAGUGGGCAACAGCCUUGCCCCCCUCCUCCCGUGACAAAACGGGCCGUGGGCCCUCUUUUAGUUCCCGGAAGCUAUCCCAUCAUGUGUUAGAUUUCCUUUUCUGAGGCUCUGAGAGGUUAAAGCAACGUAUGUAAGGACGCGCAGCCUAGUCCUUGUUCCAACAGGCUGGAGACAACAGGGGAGGCAAGCGGCUUAGAACUGUUCUCCAAACAAGUGCCCCAGCGCGUGCGCGCCCACGUAAGGCUGCCCAGUUCUUGCAGGUCUGGAUGGAAGCUGUUUCCCCCACUUCCUUUAUCUGGGUGAGGAGCCACCAGUGACUUGGUCAAACUUUUCACUAUGUACAAGUUGCAGUCACCCUUCAGUCUCGGUUUGUAUGCUCAGAAGGGGCAAAGGAGGAGUCAACACCUGUUACCUCGUGUUAAUCCUCAGGAUGAACAUCCUAAGAAUGUUUGUAACUCCCUCAACACAACCCGGCAGUGGAGGGGCGCUACUUUCACCCCACAUUAUACAUGAAGACACUGAGGGUCAAGAAGAGCCCUGUGCCCAGGCGGUAGUUGGAGGCUGGGAGAGACUGACCCAAGGUCAACCCAAGGUCAACCCAAGACUGACCUCCCUUCAGAGCUCAGCCUCUCAUCCCCAAGCUGGAUGACCUCUAGCUGGAGAUGCAUGGAGAGCCCAGUCUCAUGUAUCACAAACUGAUGUUGAACUCACUAUGAAGCUGAGGAUGGCCUUGAACUCCUGAUCUUCCUGCUUUCACCUCUCAGUUGCAUGAAUUGACACCCACCAAGUCCAAUUUGGAUUUUUUAAAAAUUAAAUUACAUUAACUAUUAGUAUGGGGAGUGUCACACCUAUGCCAUGGCUGAGGACAACUUUUGAGAAGCUGGUCCUCUCCUUUCACCAUGGGUUCCAGGGACCAAACUCAGGAGACAACUGACCUUGAAGAAUUUUUUUUUUAAGUGCUGAAAAUCCAACCUAAGCUUUCAUGCACGAAAAGCAAGCCCCUACCACUGAGUUGCACCCACCACUCAAACUUGACUUCUUCAAGGCCACAUGGCAAGAAGUUGGCAGAGGUGGAACUGGAAUCUGCGGACCUAACUUUGAAAUUAUUUAAUAAGUACUGCAUACCUAACCUCCUGGGUCAGGAAGUGGAGAGGGAGGACUCCCUGCCACAGAGCGCAGGCCCAUUCAGACCCAGCCUGUACCCCUGCUCCUUUGCUUUGUGCUGGCCUUGGACAGGACCCACAUUUCAGAGCAGCCACUCUUUGUUUUACACAAGAGGCUCAGGGUUGUCAUUUCCUUGGUAGACAGGACCUUCAGUUGUGGGGAAAGCCAGCAGACUUUCCCCGAAGAGGACCAGACCUGUGCUGUCCCAUGGGAUUGUGGGAUUCUGAUUCUCUUCAAAAACCCUUCCUUCCACAAGUGGUCCCUGCUCCAUAAGGGUCUGUCACCAUUCCCCCGCCACACACACACACACACACACACACACAUACACACCAGGAUUACUUCCCUCUUUCUGCAUGCCAGGCUCCAUCUCUCACUCAUAAGCCCCUUUAUAGGGUAAGACUGCAGUUCUAUGCUAGCCACCCCCCACAGUUGCGAAG
RNAcentral lists this long non-coding RNA (2014 nucleotides) under Cricetulus griseus (Chinese hamster). RNAcentral describes it as "lncRNA (ENSCGRG00015034795.1)". The record is from RNAcentral. Lineage: Eukaryota; Metazoa; Chordata; Mammalia; Rodentia; Cricetidae.